GCAGAGGUGGGGCGAACGAGCCCGCAGUGUGCCCGGGUGGCCAGGAAGGCCAGCGGCGUCCUGGCCUGUAUCAGGAGCAGUGUGGGCAGCAGGACUGGGGAAGUGAUCAUCCCCCGGUACUCGGCACUGUAGGUGAACUAGCUCUCGAGGGACAUCUGAGUCUUGGGCCAAGAGCUCCCUAAUGACCUCUACAUUCACAAACUUUCUAAGAGUAGCAAAAGCACCGUGGGCUUCAGUCAGCUGAGAAGACACGCAGGGUUUUGGAGGCACCGAGGUGUGCACCACUGCGGCGACUGCACCGACAUCACUAAUAGAAUAAAAA
Long non-coding RNA from Chroicocephalus ridibundus (black-headed gull), 322 nucleotides. RefSeq lists it as uncharacterized. Lineage: Eukaryota; Metazoa; Chordata; Aves; Charadriiformes; Laridae. The transcript is spliced from 3 exons. The record is from RefSeq and is a predicted model, not a curated record.